Octopus bimaculoides (California two-spot octopus) is the source of this 2669-nucleotide long non-coding RNA. The record is from RefSeq and is a predicted model, not a curated record. Lineage: Eukaryota; Metazoa; Mollusca; Cephalopoda; Octopoda; Octopodidae.
GUCACCGUCCUCGUUGACACUCUGGAAAAUUAUCAAUGACAUUGUUUAUUCUUUGUGUUUCUAAUUCAUUGAACUACAUCUGAUUAUAUCUUAUAUGUUAAGAAGAACGUUAGUCUUUGUGUACAAAAUUAGGCCAACUGCAUGUUUGAGGAUCGGUGUUCCACCACCUUCCUAAUUACAUAUUCCAUUUGAUCACAUCUUUACAUCGUUAAUUGGUUGUUCCCUAUAUUACAGGACAGGGGAAAUGGCUUUUAACCAACAACAAAUUAGUCAAUGAACUUUCCUUGGCCUUCUUCACUUUUCAUUUGGACUUUAUAUCAAACAUUCUACUGAUUAAUGGAUGACAUUGGCACAAAAUAACUUUUGUAUAUUGGAUACAUCUGGAAUAUUUAUCAUGUCUUAAAGACUAAAGGAAAAUGUUUUAGGGAACAGAUACAAUAACCCUACUGCUAUAAAUCUAGAGUUGAAUUGCUAUGAAAUAUUUGCUCUCACUUGAGAUUCAUAGUAACAUUUGUCUAUGUCAUUAUCUGGUGCUUUUGCAUUCUAAUUAAGCUUGAAUAUAUUUUUAAAUGAGUUUGUAGCAUCUUUAGAUAUUGAUGAAGAUCACAGUUGAUAACCAUAGAGGUAUUUGUGUAAAAACAGAAACAAGAAAACCAUUGAAAUAUUGGGAUGGACAGAGAAUAAUUUGAAGGGAUUAAUGUAAUAGGGUGAAACAGCUAAAGGAUUCGGUUUUGUUUUUAUUUCUUGGAGAAAUGUCAAAAAAUACACAAGAAUCAUCAUACCAACUGUGAUAUAAAUUUGGGAAUAAUCGAAAUUUAUUGCGAAAUCCAGCGAAAGUCAUUCAUGAAAUAGAAAUAAUUGUUUGUACAAAAAGCACCUACGUACAUCAAAUUUUCUUUAUAUUAAGUGAUGGCAGAAGAAUUAUCCUUGAACUUUUAAAAGGUAAGCUUAAAUAUUAAUGUAAUACUUAAAUGCAACGAUCAAUCUAGAGUUCUUCUGUAGUUUAUUGUUGCCUGUUACAUGGGCAGCAGUAUGCCUCGUAAAAAUAAAUCUCCACCAACAGAGGAAGAGAUUGCAAUAAAAAGAGCCAAGGCUGCAGCAAGGAAAAGAAAGUCCCGUGCGAAUGAAAACCCAGAACAAACUGCAAUCAGGAGAGCUUCCAAUGCUGAGAAUAUGCAAAGACUUAGGGACUCUCAAACUCCUGAACAAGCUGCAUCCAGAAGAGCAUCAAAUGCUCUUACCAAGAGGAGAAAAAGGGCAUUGGAAACACCUGAACAAGCUGAAUCUAGGAAAGCUGCCAAUGCAGCCAACAUGAGAAGUGUAAGGAUUUCAAAAUCACUAGAGCAAUCAGAAACCAGCAAUCAGAAACUGAGAUUGGCAGUCUAUAGCCUCUGCCAAAUGAAGUCCAGAAGUUUCUCCAGGUCUAUUUUCUAGAAUAAAGGUUUUCAACCCAUUUUGGACAGAUGCUCUCUUUUGACCCUUGGAAUCACAAAUGGCUCCCUACUACAAAAUAUUUAUAUUUUUCAAUAUACUACUUAUUUUGAUAUCAUCAGAUAAUGAUUAAAAAAUAAAGGACGUCAUUUUACACAUGCACUUGUUAACAGUUGGUAAUACAAAUGUACAAAUUGAAAUGGAAAGCAAAAUGGAAUAAUAAAUGGCCUUAUGAAUGAAAGUUUGGUAAUUGUGUUUAUUUCUACCAUGCAACACUUAUGUCUAUCCAAAGUGUGCUCUUUGGUACAAGUAAAUGGUGAUGAAAUCAUUCCAAACCUUUCUGAUUUCUCUUUCCAAAAUGGCUAAAACUUGUGCAACAGUCUGAGAUAUAAGUUAUUGUCACCUGGGAAGAGGAUGUGGAAUGCUCAAAAAAGAGAGUGUAUUUGAUAGAAAUUGUUGGAAUAUCUAUGUACUUCGUAUGAGUAGCAAAUUGUGGAGGAUGGUAUUCACUGUACUUGGAUCUAGAUACUUUGAGUCACAGAAUCAGCCCCCUUUUAAAAUGACGUAAAAAAUCUGAAAAUUUGUCAUGAAAACAUUCAGGCGGUCUUCCGUUACGAGUCCUUUUUCUGUCAAACGACCACAUGCGUUUAUUUACAUCAAUUCGGCAGUUUCCGUAAAAAGUGUUGGCUUAGGGAAGUGGGAAAGGACGCGAUUUCUUUUGAAGUGGUUGUGGUAAGCAGCAAACAACAAGCAAAAAGAAAAAAACGCAGCAAACAAGCAAAAAGAAAAAAAUACCUUCUCUCUCUCUCCCUUACACACACAUUCCAGUUAUCUGUCACCUUCUCUCUCUCCCUCUCUCACACACACAGCAACAUUACACACACACACACACAUGCCAACUUCAAAAGAAAUCGUGCCCUCUCUAUCUCUUUCGCGUUCUAUCCCACUUCCCUAACCCAACACUUUUUACGGAAACUGCCGAAUUGAUGUAAAUAAACACAUGUGGUCGUUUGACAGAAAAAGGACUCGUAACAUAAGAUUGCCAACAUUCAUUUGAACCAAAGAAUUUAUUGAGAAAAAAUUUGAUGAAAAAGUUACAGAUGUUUAAAAAUCGAGAAACUGUCUAUUUUUUAACCAAUAAUAAACUUUCGUUGUAGCGAACGGUGUCAACUUUAAGGUUGUAUCCUGUGUAACCUGUUCAUUGUAGGUUUCUAAAUAAAGAUAAAUACCUUAUAAAA